GUAACACGUAGUCAACAUGCCCAGGGGACGUGGAUAACCUCGGGAAACUGAGAAUAAACCGCGAUAGGUCACAAUUUCUGGAAUGGAUUUUGGCUUAAAUCUAUAUGGCCCCUGGAUUGGACUGCGGCCGAUCAGGCUGUUGGUGAGGUAAUGGCCCACCAAACCUGUAACCGGUACGGGCUCUGAGAGGAGGAGCCCGGAGAUGGGCACUGAGACAAGGGCCCAGGCCCUAUGGGGCGCAGCAGGCGCGAAACCUCUGCAAUGGGCGAAAGCCUGACAGGGUUACUCUGAGUGAUUUCCGCUAAGGGGAUCUUUUGACACCUCUAAAAAUGGUGUAGAAUAAGGGGUGGGCAAGUCUGGUGUCAGCCGCCGCGGUAAUACCUGCACCCCGAGUGGUCGGGACGAUUAUUGGGCCUAAAGCAUCCGUAGCCGGUUCUUCAAGUCUUCCGUUAAAUCCAGCCGCUCAACGGAUGGGCUGCGGAAGAUACUAUAGGACU
Molecule: ribosomal RNA, 497 nt
Filed under: uncultured archaeon
Lineage: Archaea
Description: bacterial SSU rRNA
Rfam family: Archaeal small subunit ribosomal RNA
Source: RNAcentral